Molecule: ribosomal RNA, 250 nt
Filed under: uncultured prokaryote
Description: partial 16S ribosomal RNA
Rfam family: Bacterial small subunit ribosomal RNA
Source: RNAcentral
UACGAGGGGUGCAAGCGUUGUUCGGAAUUACUGGGCGUAAAGGGAGCGUAGGCGGAGAUUCAAGCGGAUUGUACAAUCCCGGGGCCCAACCCCGGCUCUGCAGUCCGAACUGGAUCUCUUGGAUAGUUCAGGGGCAGGCGGAAUUCCUGGUGUAGCGGUGGAAUGCGUAGAGAUCAGGAAGAACACCGAUGGCGAAGGCAGCCUGCUGGGGACUCAUCGACGCUGAGGCUCGAAAGUGCGGGUAGCAAAC